This 803-nucleotide ribosomal RNA is filed under the name uncultured organism. Its description in RNAcentral is "SSU rRNA". It matches the Rfam family "Bacterial small subunit ribosomal RNA", at positions 43 to 835 of the family's 1533-position model. The record is from RNAcentral.
CAGGCUUAACACAUGCAAGUCGAGGGGCAGCAUGGUCUUAGCUUGCUAAGACUGAUGGCGACCGGCGCACGGGUGAGUAACACGUAUCCAACCUGCCGUCUACUCUUGGACAGCCUUCUGAAAGGAAGAUUAAUACAAGAUGGCAUCAUGAGUCCGCAUGUUCACAUGAUUAAAGGUAUUCCGGUAGACGAUGGGGAUGCGUUCCAUUAGAUAGUAGGCGGGGUAACGGCCCACCUAGUCUUCGAUGGAUAGGGGUUCUGAGAGGAAGGUCCCCCACAUUGGAACUGAGACACGGUCCAAACUCCUACGGGAGGCAGCAGUGAGGAAUAUUGGUCAAUGGGCGAGAGCCUGAACCAGCCAAGUAGCGUGAAGGAUGACUGCCCUAUGGGUUGUAAACUUCUUUUAUAAAGGAAUAAAGUCGGGUAUGUAUACCCGUUUGCAUGUACUUUAUGAAUAAGGAUCGGCUAACUCCGUGCCAGCAGCCGCGGUAAUACGGAGGAUCCGAGCGUUAUCCGGAUUUAUUGGGUUUAAAGGGAGCGUAGAUGGAUGUUUAAGUCAGUUGUGAAAGUUUGCGGCUCAACCGUAAAAUUGCAGUUGAUACUGGAUAUCUUGAGUGCAGUUGAGGCAGGCGGAAUUCGUGGUGUAGCGGUGAAAUGCUUAGAUAUCACGAAGAACUCCGAUUGCGAAGGCAGCCUGCUAAGCUGCAACUGACAUUGAGGCUCGAAAGUGUGGGUAUCAAACAGGAUUAGAUACCCUGGUAGUCCACACGGUAAACGAUGAAUACUCGCUGUUUGCGAUAUACU